RNAcentral lists this ribosomal RNA (1200 nucleotides) under Escherichia coli. RNAcentral describes it as "bacterial LSU rRNA". It matches the Rfam family "Bacterial large subunit ribosomal RNA", at positions 1 to 1230 of the family's 2925-position model. Lineage: Bacteria; Pseudomonadati; Pseudomonadota; Gammaproteobacteria; Enterobacterales; Enterobacteriaceae. The record is from RNAcentral.
GGGUUGUGAGGUUAAGCGACUAAGCGUACACGGUGGAUGCCCUGGCAGUCAGAGGCGAUGAAGGACGUGCUAAUCUGCGAUAAGCGUCGGUAAGGUGAUAUGAACCGUUAUAACCGGCGAUUUCCGAAUGGGGAAACCCAGUGUGUUUCGACACACUAUCAUUAACUGAAUCCAUAGGUUAAUGAGGCGAACCGGGGGAACUGAAACAUCUAAGUACCCCGAGGAAAAGAAAUCAACCGAGAUUCCCCCAGUAGCGGCGAGCGAACGGGGAGGAGCCCAGAGCCUGAAUCAGUGUGUGUGUUAGUGGAAGCGUCUGGAAAGGCGCGCGAUACAGGGUGACAGCCCCGUACACAAAAAUGCACAUGCUGUGAGCUCGAUGAGUAGGGCGGGACACGUGGUAUCCUGUCUGAAUAUGGGGGGACCAUCCUCCAAGGCUAAAUACUCCUGACUGACCGAUAGUGAACCAGUACCGUGAGGGAAAGGCGAAAAGAACCCCGGCGAGGGGAGUGAAAAAGAACCUGAAACCGUGUACGUACAAGCAGUGGGAGCACAGAGCAAUCUGUGUGACUGCGUACCUUUUGUAUAAUGGGUCAGCGACUUAUAUUCUGUAGCAAGGUUAACCGAAUAGGGGAGCCGAAGGGAAACCGAGUCUUAACUGGGCGUUAAGUUGCAGGGUAUAGACCCGAAACCCGGUGAUCUAGCCAUGGGCAGGUUGAAGGUUGGGUAACACUAACUGGAGGACCGAACCGACUAAUGUUGAAAAAUUAGCGGAUGACUUGUGGCUGGGGGUGAAAGGCCAAUCAAACCGGGAGAUAGCUGGUUCUCCCCGAAAGCUAUUUAGGUAGCGCCUCGUGAAUUCAUCUCCGGGGGUAGAGCACUGUUUCGGCAAGGGGGUCAUCCCGACUUACCAACCCGAUGCAAACUGCGAAUACCGGAGAAUGUUAUCACGGGAGACACACGGCGGGUGCUAACGUCCGUCGUGAAGAGGGAAACAACCCAGACCGCCAGCUAAGGUCCCAAAGUCAUGGUUAAGUGGGAAACGAUGUGGGAAGGCCCAGACAGCCAGGAUGUUGGCUUAGAAGCAGCCAUCAUUUAAAGAAAGCGUAAUAGCUCACUGGUCGAGUCGGCCUGCGCGGAAGAUGUAACGGGGCUAAACCAUGCACCGAAGCUGCGGCAGCGACGCUUAUGCGUUGUUGGGUA